AGAGUUUGAUCCUGGCUCAGGACGAACGCUGACGGUGUGCUUUAGGCAUGCAAGUCGAACGAGAAAGCCCUUCGGGGUGAGUAAAGUGGCGAACGGGUGAGUAACACGUGGGCAACCUGCCCCUCGCAGGGGGACAACCGGAGGAAACUCCGGCUAAUACCCCGUACGCUUAUUGGAUCGCAUGGUCCGGCAAGGAAAGGUAGCUUCGGCCAUCCGGCGAGGGAUGGGCCCGCGUUGCAUUAGCUAGUUGGUGGGGUAACGGCCUACCAAGGCGACGAUGCGUAGCUGGUCUGAGAGGAUGAUCAGCCACACUGGGACUGAGACACGGCCCAGACUCCUACGGGAGGCAGCAGCCAGGAAUCUUGGGCAAUGGGCGAAAGCCUGACCCAGCAACACCGUGUGGGUGAUGAAGGCCUUAGGGUCGUAAAGCCCUGUUGAUAGGGACGAAGGGCGAAGGGUUAAUAGCCCCUAGCUUGACGGUACCUUUCGAGGAAGCCCCGGCUAACUACGUGCCAGCAGCCGCGGUAAUACGUAGGGGGCGAGCGUUGUCCGGAAUUAUUGGGCGUAAAGAGCGUGUAGGCGGUUCGGUAAGUCUGCUGUGAAAUCCUGGGGCUCAACCCUGGGCGUGCAGCGGAUACUGCCGGGCUAGAGGGUGGUAGAGGCGAGUGGAAUUCCGAGUGUAGCGGUGAAAUGCGCAGAUAUUCGGAGGAACACCAGUAGCGAAGGCGGCUCGCUGGGCCACACCUGACGCUGACGCGAAAGCGUGGGGAGCGAACAGGAUUAGAUACCCNNGUAGUCC
Molecule: ribosomal RNA, 799 nt
Filed under: uncultured bacterium
Lineage: Bacteria
Description: bacterial SSU rRNA
Rfam family: Bacterial small subunit ribosomal RNA
Source: RNAcentral